GGCGUGUACUGCUUGGCUGGGCCUUACUUCUUGGUGAGCCGGCGUGCCCUUUAUUGGUGUGCGUCGGGGAACCAGGACUUUUACCUUGAGAAAAUUAGAGUGUUCAAAGCAGGCCUAUGCCUGAAUACAUUAGCAUGGAAUAAUAGAAUAGGACGUGCGGUUCUAUUUUGUUGGUUUCUAGAGUCGCCGUAAUGAUUAAUAGGGACAGUUGGGGGCAUUGGUAUUGAGUCGCUAGAGGUGAAAUUCUUGGAUUGACUCAAGACCGACUAUUGCGAAAGCAUUUGCCAAGGAUGUUUUCAUUAAUCAAGAACGAAGGUUAGGGGAUCGAAAACGAUCAGAUACCGUUGUAGUCUUAACAGUAAACUAUGCCGACUAGGGAUCGGAUGACCUCAAAAUUGAUGUGUCAUUCGGCACCUUACGAGAAAUCAAAGUCUUUGGGUUCUGGGGGGAGUGUGGUCGCAAGGCUGAAACUUAAAGGAAUUGACGGAAGGGCACCACCAGGUGUGGAGCCUGCGGCUUAAUUUGACUCAACACGGGGAAACUCACCAGGUCCAGACAUAACUAGGAUUGACAGAUUGAUAGCUCUUUCAUGAUUUUAUGGGUGGUGGUGCAUGGCCGUUCUUAGUUGGUGGAGUGAUUUGUCUGGUUAAUUCCGAUAACGAACGAGACCUUAACCUGCUAAAUAGCCAGGCCGGCUUCGGCUGGUCUCUGGCUUCUUAGAGGGACUGUCAG
RNAcentral lists this ribosomal RNA (732 nucleotides) under uncultured eukaryote. Its description in RNAcentral is "SSU rRNA". It matches the Rfam family "Eukaryotic small subunit ribosomal RNA", at positions 672 to 1426 of the family's 1831-position model. The record is from RNAcentral.